GCCGGUGAUGAUUAGUAUUGGUUGCAGAACAGGCAACAUAGAUUGUCUGUGCAAUGACGACACUUUCGAACUAGGACGGUCUGAGGC
Triticum aestivum (bread wheat) is the source of this 87-nucleotide non-coding RNA. The record is from Rfam. Lineage: Eukaryota; Viridiplantae; Streptophyta; Magnoliopsida; Poales; Poaceae.